CCUUGUGUGCAAUGUCAGUCGAUCUUCUUCAUGGAGAUCGACCAAACAUCAACCUUUAUUUUUUAACUCUUUGUCUGAAAAAUAUUAUGAAUAAACAAUUCAAAAUACAACUUUCAACAACGGAUCUCUUGGCUCUCGCAUCGAUGAAGAACGCAGCGAAAUGCGAUACGUAAUGUGAAUUGCAGAAUUCAGUGAAUCAUCGAAUCUUUGAACGCAUAUUGCGCUCUUUGGUAUUCCGAAGAGCAUGCUUGUUUGAGUAUCAGUAAACACCUCAAAGCUUUUGGAUUUUUUAAUCGAAAAGCUUUGGACUUGAGCAAUCCCAACACCAAUCUUUUUGAGAUCGGUGGCGGGUUGCUUGAAAUGCAGGUGCAGCUGGACAUUCUCCUGAGCUAAAAGCAUAUUCAUUUAGUCCCGUCAAACGGAUUAUUACUUUUGCUGCAGCUAACAUAAAGGGAGUUUGACCGUAUUGGCUGACUGAUGCAGGAUUUCACAAGGGUCGGCAACGAUUCUUGUUAAACUCGAUCUCAAAUCAAGUAAGACUACCCGCUGAACUUAAGCAUAUCAAUAAGCGGAG
RNAcentral lists this ribosomal RNA (574 nucleotides) under uncultured fungus. Its description in RNAcentral is "eukaryotic LSU rRNA". The stretch from base 109 to 262 matches the Rfam family "5.8S ribosomal RNA". The record is from RNAcentral. Lineage: Eukaryota; Fungi.